UCAGACUCUUAGCAAAUCUAACUUAAAUAUGUUAAAUAUCUUAGACUAGAACUAAGCUACAUCCUAAAAAAUUAUUUCUACCUCAGUCUCCUUAAGAUAUCUCUAACAAUAGAUUUCAAAGGGAAAAAAUUAAGUUCCACUUUUCUGUCCUACUCCUUCCUAUUCAGUUCAGACUUCUCUGCUUCCCAGGGGAAGCAAACAACUUCUCCUCCUCCAAGAAUAUCUGAAAUGAAAAAGCUCUGCUGUCUCACCACAGACCUCAGCUUUAGAAGUGUGAGACUUUCCAAAGGAAGUGGUUGCCAAACCUGAUGCUUGAGACAAAGAAACCCAUUGUUCAAUGGGAUACUUUCUUUCCUGUCAGCCUUGCUGUGUAAAGACUGACAGCAACCUUCAUCAGAGGAUAAUUUCCAAAUGAGGAAAGUAUCCACGUGGGACUGUCAGAAGCACUGAAUUGAUUUGUGCCUGUACCACAGAAUGAUAUAAAUCCGUGGAGUACAGAAGAUGUCAGGACACAGUGAAUGCCCAGAAGCCUCUAAACACCAUUUUCCCCCUGGAUACUGUAAAAAAUUGGCAGAGGAGUCUUCCUACCUGGUUUCAUUGAGAGCUUACUGGCUUGGGUGUUUCCAUGCCCAUUCUUGCACAGGCAUCCCAGGAGUGCAAUGCAAGCCUGCAGUCUGUUUCUGUGCUUGGCUGGCCCAGCCUGGCCCAGCCUGGCCCCCAGCCUCAGGCGGUGUCACCGGGGGUCCCAGAGCAGCCCUGCCCCAGGGCUGCAGCCACCACCCUCUGCAAAGGCACUUUGCCCACCCCACACCAGCCAGCAGGCCCACGGGGAGAAGCAGAGCAGCGAUCAAAGCUGGGGACAAAAAGCCUCCACAUGGGAAACAUGAGAUAAAAGGUAAUGCCUCACCAUAUGUAUGUUUUGGAUGGAAAGGAGGCCUUCCUCCACUUUCUCAAGGCUGUGGUAGCAUUGAGGAGACGUUUGGCUGGUUUUACAUGGCAACAUAUUGUUCAUAUGCCCUAAAUAUGACCAUAUGCAGGGUAAGGGGCUGGCACAGAUUGCCCAGAAAACUGCGUAUGCCCCAUUCCUGGAAGUGUUCAAGGGGAAGCCCCCCUGGAGGGGGCUCUGAGCAGCCUGGUCUAGUGGGAGGCAUUCCUGCCCAUGGCAGGGGUGCUAUAACUAGAUGAUCCAUAAGGUCCCUCCCAAUCCCAAGCAUCCUGUGACCUAUGACAUGCUCAUAGAGAUCUUACUCUCAUGUAGUUUACCCAGUAAUGGUGUUCAACUGCAUGUGAGGAGAGAACCCCAGGUCCUGUUCAAGGAAUGAAAAGACUGUUGUGUAGUGCUGGGUUGUUCUGUUUCCCCCUCACUUUGUAUGUUGGACUGUUCUGUUUCCCCCUCAGCUUGCCAUGGUUCAGGCUUGACUCACUCCGCCCUCCUUCUCACUGCCCGUCAUCCCCGCUCCUCCCACAACCCCGUGUAUCCUUCCUUUGACCCCUCCCUGGUGCCCUGUCUGUCACUCGGCGCUCCCUCCCUUCCCUCUAGAAACUUCUAGCUGAAGCAUCGAGUGAUUGGCUCAGGGGCCAGGGUCCCGCCCUCAAUGUACUCCUAUUGGCUUAUCCUAAAUGUCAAUCCCAUGUAUGCUGCUCCCCUCUGGUUCCCCAUUGGUCCAGAGGUUGUCUCCUCCCCUGUUUCCCUGGUCCUUUAAAAUCUGUUGCAAUCCUAUGUUUGGGGGUUUAGCCCUAGGAUUUUCCUCAGUGUUGUUGUCUGAUUUCACUCUCGGCUGGAGUCACUCUCUUCUUCUCAUCUGUUGGAUUGCUGCUGUGAGCCCUGUCCGUGUCAGGGAGCUGCCUUCACUGUAACGUGGAGCAGUUUCCCUAGGCGCUGUCCCGGGUAACCAGACCCAGGAGAGUGCCCCUGCUGCAGGCAGUGCUGGUUGCUUGCCGGGCGACUGGAAGGGACGAGCCUUCCUAGGCAACUCUCUGCUUCAAAAGACGUCCCUAGAUCUCCAGAUUUACCACCAGACAAAGGAGAGGAUAAUCAUAUG
This is a long non-coding RNA of Haemorhous mexicanus (house finch), 2042 nucleotides long. RefSeq lists it as uncharacterized. NCBI's taxonomy places the organism in Eukaryota, Metazoa, Chordata, Aves, Passeriformes, Fringillidae. The transcript has 4 exons. The record is from RefSeq and is a predicted model, not a curated record.